GAGCCGGUUCUCUGGAGAGGUGCUCGCUCUGCAAAAGCGUGUGAGAGGGUUCAAUUCCCUCCCGGCUCU
RNAcentral lists this transfer RNA (69 nucleotides) under Polyangiaceae bacterium. RNAcentral describes it as "tRNA-Cys". It matches the Rfam family "tRNA". Rfam says of the family: Transfer RNA (tRNA) molecules are approximately 80 nucleotides in length. Their secondary structure includes four short double-helical elements and three loops (D, anti-codon, and T loops). Further hydrogen bonds mediate the characteristic L-shaped molecular structure. tRNAs have two regions of fundamental functional importance: the anti-codon, which is responsible for specific mRNA codon recognition, and the 3' end, to which the tRNAs corresponding amino acid is attached (by aminoacyl-tRNA synthetases). tRNAs cope with the degeneracy of the genetic code in two manners: having more than one tRNA (with a specific anti-codon) for a particular amino acid; and 'wobble' base-pairing, i.e. permitting non-standard base-pairing at the 3rd anti-codon position. Lineage: Bacteria; Pseudomonadati; Myxococcota; Polyangiales; Polyangiaceae. The record is from RNAcentral.